UAACUGAAGAGUUUGAUCAUGGCUCAGAUUGAACGCUGGCGGCAGGCUUAACACAUGCAAGUCGAGCGGGGGAAGGUAGCUUGCUACCGGACCUAGCGGCGGACGGGUGAGUAAUGCUUAGGAAUCUGCCUAUUAGUGGGGGACAACAUCUCGAAAGGGAUGCU
This 164-nucleotide ribosomal RNA is filed under the name Acinetobacter baumannii. RNAcentral's name for it is "partial 16S ribosomal RNA". It matches the Rfam family "Bacterial small subunit ribosomal RNA", at positions 1 to 164 of the family's 1533-position model. Lineage: Bacteria; Pseudomonadati; Pseudomonadota; Gammaproteobacteria; Moraxellales; Moraxellaceae. The record is from RNAcentral.